AGAGUUUGAUCAUGGCUCAGGAUAAACGCUGGCGGCGUGCUUAACACAUGCAAGUCGAACGAAGUUUUUCUUUCGGGAGGAACUUAGUGGCGGACGGGUGAGUAACGCGUGGGUAACCUGCCCUGUACAGGGGGACAACAGCUGGAAACGGCUGCUAAUACCGCAUAAGCCCUUAGCACUGCAUGGUGCAUAGGGAAAAGGAGCAAUCCGGUACAGGAUGGACCCGCGUCUGAUUAGCCAGUUGGCAGGGUAACGGCCUACCAAAGCGACGAUCAGUAGCCGAUCUGAGAGGAUGUACGGCCACAUUGGGACUGAGACACGGCCCAGACUCCUACGGGAGGCAGCA
RNAcentral lists this ribosomal RNA (346 nucleotides) under uncultured bacterium. Its description in RNAcentral is "bacterial SSU rRNA". It matches the Rfam family "Bacterial small subunit ribosomal RNA", at positions 8 to 353 of the family's 1533-position model. The record is from RNAcentral.